This 76-nucleotide transfer RNA is filed under the name Bdellovibrio sp. RNAcentral describes it as "tRNA-Gly". It matches the Rfam family "tRNA". From Rfam's summary of the family: Transfer RNA (tRNA) molecules are approximately 80 nucleotides in length. RNAcentral also lists the same sequence under 14 other names. Lineage: Bacteria; Pseudomonadati; Bdellovibrionota; Bdellovibrionia; Bdellovibrionales; Pseudobdellovibrionaceae. The record is from RNAcentral.
GCGGGAAUAGCUCAGCUGGUAGAGCGAUACCUUGCCAAGGUAUAGGUCGCGAGUUCGAGUCUCGUUUCCCGCUCCA